This 440-nucleotide ribosomal RNA is filed under the name uncultured bacterium. Its description in RNAcentral is "partial 16S ribosomal RNA". It matches the Rfam family "Bacterial small subunit ribosomal RNA", at positions 338 to 795 of the family's 1533-position model. The record is from RNAcentral.
CCUACGGGAGGCUGCAGUAGGGAAUAUUGCUCAAUGGGGGAAACCCUGAAGCAGCAACGCCGCGUGGAGGAUGAAGGUUUUCGGAUUGUAAACUCCUUUUGUUAGAGAAGAUAAUGACGGUAUCUAACGAAUAAGCACCGGCUAACUCCGUGCCAGCAGCCGCGGUAAUACGGAGGGUGCAAGCGUUACUCGGAAUCACUGGGCGGAAAGAGCGCGUAGGCGGGAUAGCAAGUCAGAUGUGAAAUCCUAUGGCUUAACCAUAGAACUGCAUUUGAAACUGUUAUUCUAGAGUAUGGGAGAGGUAGGUGGAAUUCGUGGUGUAGGGGUAAAAUCCGUAGAGAUCAAGCGGAAUACUCAUUGCGAAGGCGACCUGCUAGAACAUAACUGACGCUGAUGCGCGAAAGCGUGGGGAGCAAACAGGAUUAGAUACCCCUGUAGUC